RNAcentral lists this long non-coding RNA (3544 nucleotides) under Homo sapiens (human). Its description in RNAcentral is "HSALNT0162360". The record is from RNAcentral. Lineage: Eukaryota; Metazoa; Chordata; Mammalia; Primates; Hominidae.
CUCAUAUCUUGGAACAAAGACCUCUUUCAAGACAGACAGUCCCAAGGAAUCUCAGACAUUUUGGGGGGCCCAGAAGAGAAUGAUUCAGAGGAGACUGAAGGCUUAAGGGUUGACUCAUGGAUGUUUAGUAUUGCUACAGACACUGAUCUUAGGUCAGGCACUGCUGGGAGCUUCAUUCGGGCUGACAGCGGCAUUUAUGAGAGCAAAUGUCUGUCCCUGCGCAAUUUCUGUGGGGAUAGUUGCAGUCAGGUCUACAGGAUUUGCUUAAAAAUUUCCAAGACCUGGGUGUGUCUGACAGCCUGGACCUCAACCUCAAAAAGGAACUAGCUCCUCUCUGAUUUCCUUGGGACACCUGGGAGCAAGCACAGGAGCCCAUGGAGCCACGGAGAGUGUCACUUCAAGCGCCUCCUGGGAGCUCUUGCAGAUGCCAAGUGCUCUGCCCUUCCCCAUUACCUGUGAUUUCAAGUGGGCUUAGAGAUUCUCCAAGAUGUGAGAUGAAAGGCCAAGAAACUAAUUCCUCUGACUUCUUCAGAGAACCGCACAGUCUCUUGAGGUAAUCUCUCAGCUUGGAAAAACAGCAUCAAGCAACUAGUGAAAGUGAUUCUCUGUGCACUCCAGGUCCCCGACUGCUUGCUGAACUGACUUGAUAUAGAUGUUGGUUUCACAAUACUGGGAAGUGUGAAAUAGCUGAUGAACUUUAAAGAAAUCAUCCCUAUCACAUGUCAACAAAUUGAAGGCUGUCCUCUCCAACAGCUACAGGAUGGGCAGCUGUUCUCUGUUGCUGAUUAAAUGCAGAUCCAUAAGCUUUGGCAAGAAGUUGAGUGGAGGAAGUGUUGAUUGCCUCCUGAGGAAACCAAGAUGCCUAACAAUGACUUAGGCCUGAGUCCUUGCUCAGGGCUGUGUGUGUUUAUGUGUUCCACAAUCAUCUGUAGAAAAUUAUUGGGGGAAAUUCUCCCCCGAUAUUUCACUUAGGUUCUUUUCUGUUUUCCCUAAGUGUCAGCUGGUCUGAGAAAUAAAGGGACAGAGUACAAAAGAGAGAAAUUUUAAAGCUGGUUGUCCGGGGGAGACAUCACAUGUCGGCAGGUUCUGUGAUGCCCCCUGAGCCAUAAAACCAGCAAGUUUUUAUUAUUGAUUUUCCAAAGGGGAAGGAGUGUACCAAUAGGGUGUGGUUCACAGAGAUCAUGUGCUUCACAAGGUAAUAGAAUAUCACAAGGCAAAUGGAGGCAGGGUGAGCUCACAGGACCACAGGACCAGGGCGAAAUUAAAAUUGCCAGUGAAGUUUUGGGCACGCAUUGUCAUUGAUAACAUCUUAUCAGGAGACAGGGUUUGAGAGCAGACAACCAGUCUGACCAAAAUUUAUUAGGCGGGAAUUUCCUCAUCCUAAUAAGGCUGGGAGCACUACUGAGACCCGGGCUUAUUUCAUCCCCUAUCUACAACCGUAAAAGACAGCUGUCCCCAGAGCGGCCAUUUGAGAGGCCUCCCCUUAGGGACGCAUUCUCUUUCUCAGGGAUGUUCCUUGCUGAGAAAAAGAAUUCAAUGAUAUUUCUCCUAUUUGCUUUUGAAAGAAGAGAAAUAUGGCUCUGUUCUGCCUGGCUCACAGGCAGCCAAAGUUUAAGGUUAUCUCCCUUGUUCCCUGAACAUUGCUGUUAUCCUGGUCUUUUUUCAAGGUGCCCAGAUUUCAUAUUGUUCAAACACACAUGCUCUACAAACAAUUUGUGCAGUUAACGCAAUCUUCACAGGGUCCUGAGGUGACAUACAUCCUCCUCAGGGAUUAAGAGAUUAAAGUAAAGGCAGGCAUAAGAAAUCACAAGGGUAUUGAUUGGGGUAGUGAUAAGUGUCCAUGAAAUCUUCACAAUUUAUAUUCAGAGAUUGCAGUAAAGACCGGCUUAAGAAAUUAUAAAAGUAUUAAUUUGAGGAACUAUUAAAUGUCCAUGAAAUCUUCACAAUUUAUGUUCUUCUGCUGUGGCUUCAUCCAGUCCCUCCGUUCAGGCUCCCUAACUUCCCACAGCAGAAAAUGAUUUUGGAUCCACCAGAAAACACAAACUAUGAUGGAUGACCAGAGCUCUAACAUUUGCACUCCUUACUAAAAGAACACAAUCGUUUUAGUCUUGGGAAUGUUCAGAGUAAGUGAAAUCAGUUAAGUAUCCCAAUCAAAAAGAAUCUCCAGAAAGCACCUCACAUUUGAACUUGAGAAAGCAAAUUUUUAGUGAAAUGAUUUAUUUAAACAAAUCUUUGUUUGUAAACCUCUUGGGAUGAGGAUUGUCUACAAAACCAUAACUUGAAUUUGAGACUAGUUGGUCUUACUUUGAAGCAACACAGAACUACAAUGCUUAGCUGUUUGAUGCACAACUAGAUAGAGAUGGCACACUUCAUCAUCCACCUAAAAGAAGAUGCAUGUAUUCAUAUUACCUACAUUCUCCAUACCAGGCAAUUAUGUAGCCACCUUAGCUGUGAAUAGUAUAAGAUAAUUAACAAAUAAGUGUUAGAGAAGUGGUAAUUGUAAGUUCUAGAAAAUAUUACUUGAGUGCAUUUUUUUGUUUUUCUUAAUUUGUGGGAAUUGCUCCAUUCUGAAUGAAUUAAUUAAUUUUUUAACAGUAAUACCCUUAGUAGUAAAAAUCCAAACAAUGCUGUAACUAUAGAAUAAAACCCUCCCUUUCCCUCCCACCCUUCUUGCCAAGGGUAAUAACUUUCCAAAGUUUCUGCUUUUACUUUUUCGGGCCAUGGUUUUCAUAGCUCUAAAUAAUAUGUUCAGGGCCCUAGUUCUUGAUCUGCCAACUUUCAACAGUGUCUCUUGGCUCCUCUCCGUUAAAAAAAAAAUUAAAUUACAUACAUCAAAUUUUACUCAGCCUAAACUUUAUUUAUAUAUGUGUGAUUAUUUUCUCUUUUAGUUCUUUUGUUUUAUUUUUAUGACUUCAAAAUAUGUCAAAGCUAUUUCUUGAUCUCUAUUUACAGGGCACCCUUUGACUCUCCAUGUACGUUAAAGGAAUUAAAACCUUUGUUUUCCUGCUCUUCCUCUUCCCUCUCCAUCUCAUCAUCUGUCAGUUCUGUUCUUAUCUCAAACUGUAAGGUUUAUAAUAUUUUCAUUCUCCUUUGUCGGUAUAUUGUAUUUUAUCAAAUCUAACAUGCCACAUAAUUGUUGUAUGUUUCAUUAAACUAAGAAAAUGCCGUCAAUGGUACUUUAUUGGUUACACAGUACGUCCCAUUUUCAAGGAGGCUAAAAUGUUGGGGGGGAAGUUCCAUUAGAUUUUAUAAGAGAUAAUAAUUAGUCUCCUGUACUUUGUAGGUAAAUUCUAAAAAUAAAAAUAAGCUACUUUUACAAUAUUGUUGUGUAAUAUUUCAGUAGAAUGGAUUAGGAUCAUAGAAGAGGGAUAGAAGUUUUUGUCACUAAACCAGUGCUACCCAAAUGUAAUGGUUACAUGUCAAAAAGAUUCUCUUUUUUUACAGCCUAAAUUUGUCCUAAAUCAUGCACCAUUUUAAUGUUCUUCAUGUUGAGCUUUGAUUUUAUGUUUCUUUCCUAGACUGUCUAUUGUAUAUAUUUUAGCAU